Molecule: ribosomal RNA, 399 nt
Filed under: uncultured bacterium
Lineage: Bacteria
Description: bacterial SSU rRNA
Rfam family: Bacterial small subunit ribosomal RNA
Source: RNAcentral
GGGGAAUAUUGCACAAUGGAGGAAACUCUGAUGCAGCGACGCCGCGUGAAUGAUGAAGGCCUUCGGGUUGUAAAGUUCUGUCCUUGGGGAAGAUAAUGACGGUACCCAAGGAGGAAGCCCCGGCUAACUACGUGCCAGCAGCCGCGGUAAUACGUAGGGGGCGAGCGUUGUCCGGAAUUAUUGGGCGUAAAGGGUUCGCAGGCGGUCUGAUAAGUCAGAUGUGAAAGGCGUAGGCUUAACCUAUGUAAGCAUUUGAAACUGUCAGACUUGAGUUAAGGAGAGGAAAGUGGAAUUCCUAGUGUAGCGGUGAAAUGCGUAGAUAUUAGGAGGAAUACCAGUGGCGAAGGCGACUUUCUGGACUUAUACUGACGCUGAGGAACGAAAGCGUGGGGAGCAAAC